This is a long non-coding RNA of Musca domestica (house fly), 350 nucleotides long. RefSeq lists it as uncharacterized. The transcript is spliced from 2 exons. NCBI's taxonomy places the organism in Eukaryota, Metazoa, Arthropoda, Insecta, Diptera, Muscidae. The record is from RefSeq and is a predicted model, not a curated record.
CAACAAUAGCAGUCGUACUUAAUUAUAAUAUUUAAUAUUAAUUGAUUAUUGAAAAUAGGCUUCGGAUUUGCUAUAAAAUGAAUCCUAAACUUGAGACCCGACUAUAGUUCAACAAUUGCCAGUAAACAUCAAUAUACAAUGAAAUUCACCAGCAUUUUCGCAAUUGCCGUUGCCAUGGUUUUGGCUAUUAGCUCAGCCGAGGCUAAACCUGAACCAAAACCCGAACCAUUACCGGAGCCAAUUUUAAAUGUCGUCACCAAUUUACUUAGCGGUAUUUUGGGCGGCAGGUAAAUGGAAUUGCUUGCACGGAACGCCGUGAUCGUUAUACAUGAAAAUUGAAAAAAUAAAAU